Molecule: ribosomal RNA, 253 nt
Filed under: uncultured bacterium
Lineage: Bacteria
Description: partial 16S ribosomal RNA
Rfam family: Bacterial small subunit ribosomal RNA
Source: RNAcentral
AACGUAGGUGGCGAGCGUUAUCCGGAAUUACUGGGCGUAAAGCGUGUGCAGGCGGGCUGACAAGUGGGGUAUGAAAUAUCCCGGCUUAACCGGGAGGGGUUAUGCCAGACUGUCAGUCUUGAGUGCAGGAGAGGAACGCGGAAUUCCAGGUGUAGCGGUGAAAUGCGUAGAUAUCUGGAGGAACACCGGUGGCGAAGGCGGCGUUCUGGACUGCAACUGACACUGAGGAACGAAAGCCAGGGGAGCAAACGGG